CCCUAGCCCAGAUAGAAAUGGAAAGCCCACAGUCAAGCCUUUUUAGGCGAGACGAGGACUUGAAAUGGAAAGCUGGAAAUAGC
RNAcentral lists this small RNA (83 nucleotides) under Flavobacterium urumqiense. RNAcentral's name for it is "Flavo-1 RNA". It matches the Rfam family "Flavo-1 RNA". The record is from RNAcentral. Lineage: Bacteria; Pseudomonadati; Bacteroidota; Flavobacteriia; Flavobacteriales; Flavobacteriaceae.